UCCUGACUGACCGAUAGUGAACCAGUACCGUGAGGGAAAGGCGAAAAGAACCCCGGCGAGGGGAGUGAAAAAGAACCUGAAACCGUGUACGUACAAGCAGUGGGAGCACGCUUAGGCGUGUGACUGCGUACCUUUUGUAUAAUGGGUCAGCGACUUAUAUUCUGUAGCAAGGUUAACCGAAUAGGGGAGCCGAAGGGAAACCGAGUCUUAACUGGGCGUUAAGUUGCAGGGUAUAGACCCGAAACCCGGUGAUCUAGCCAUGGGCAGGUUGAAGGUUGGGUAACACUAACUGGAGGACCGAACCGACUAAUGUUGAAAAAUUAGCGGAUGACUUGUGGCUGGGGGUGAAAGGCCAAUCAAACCGGGAGAUAGCUGGUUCUCCCCGAAAGCUAUUUAGGUAGCGCCUCGUGAAUUCAUCUCCGGGGGUAGAGCACUGUUUCGGCAAGGGGGUCAUCCCGACUUACCAACCCGAUGCAAACUGCGAAUACCGGAGAAUGUUAUCACGGGAGACACACGGCGGGUGCUAACGUCCGUCGUGAAGAGGGAAACAACCCAGACCGCCAGCUAAGGUCCCAAAGUCAUGGUUAAGUGGGAAACGAUGUGGGAAGGCCCAGACAGCCAGGAUGUUGGCUUAGAAGCAGCCAUCAUUUAAAGAAAGCGUAAUAGCUCACUGGUCGAGUCGGCCUGCGCGGAAGAUGUAACGGGGCUAAACCAUGCACCGAAGCUGCGGCAGCGACGCUUAUGCGUUGUUGGGUAGGGGAGCGUUCUGUAAGCCUGCGAAGGUGUGCUGUGAGGCAUGCUGGAGGUAUCAGAAGUGCGAAUGCUGACAUAAGUAACGAUAAAGCGGGUGAAAAGCCCGCUCGCCGGAAGACCAAGGGUUCCUGUCCAACGUUAAUCGGGGCAGGGUGAGUCGACCCCUAAGGCGAGGCCGAAAGGCGUAGUCGAUGGGAAACAGGUUAAUAUUCCUGUACUUGGUGUUACUGCGAAGGGGGGACGGAGAAGGCUAUGUUGGCCGGGCGACGGUUGUCCCGGUUUAAGCGUGUAGGCUGGUUUUCCAGGCAAAUCCGGAAAAUCAAGGCUGAGGCGUGAUGACGAGGCACUACGGUGCUGAAGCAACAAAUGCCCUGCUUCCAGGAAAAGCCUCUAAGCAUCAGGUAACAUCAAAUCGUACCCCAAACCGACACAGGUGGUCAGGUAGAGAAUACCAAGGCGCUUGAGAGAACUCGGGUGAAGGAACUAGGCAAAAUGGUGCCGUAACUUCGGGAGAAGGCACGCUGAUAUGUAGGUGAAGUCCCUUGCGGAUGGAGCUGAAAUCAGUCGAAGAUACCAGCUGGCUGCAACUGUUUAUUAAAAACACAGCACUGUGCAAACACGAAAGUGGACGUAUACGGUGUGACGCCUGCCCGGUGCCGGAAGGUUAAUUGAUGGGGUCAGCGCAAGCGAAGCUCUUGAUCGAAGCCCCGGUAAACGGCGGCCGUAACUAUAACGGUCCUAAGGUAGCGAAAUUCCUUGUCGGGUAAGUUCCGACCUGCACGAAUGGCGUAAUGAUGGCCAGGCUGUCUCCACCCGAGACUCAGUGAAAUUGAACUCGCUGUGAAGAUGCAGUGUACCCGCGGCAAGACGGAAAGACCCCGUGAACCUUUACUAUAGCUUGACACUGAACAUUGAGCCUUGAUGUGUAGGAUAGGUGGGAGGCUUUGAAGUGUGGACGCCAGUCUGCAUGGAGCCGGCCUUGAAAUACCACCCUUUAAUGUUUGAUGUUCUAACGUGGACCCGUGAUCCGGGUUGCGGACAGUGUCUGGUGGGUAGUUUGACUGGGGCGGUCUCCUCCUAAAGAGUAACGGAGGAGCACGAAGGUUGGCUAAUCCUGGUCGGACAUCAGGAGGUUAGUGCAAUGGCAUAAGCCAGCUUGACUGCGAGCGUGACGGCGCGAGCAGGUGCGAAAGCAGGUCAUAGUGAUCCGGUGGUUCUGAAUGGAAGGGCCAUCGCUCAACGGAUAAAAGGUACUCCGGGGAUAACAGGCUGAUACCGCCCAAGAGUUCAUAUCGACGGCGGUGUUUGGCACCUCGAUGUCGGCUCAUCACAUCCUGGGGCUGAAGUAGGUCCCAAGGGUAUGGCUGUUCGCCAUUUAAAGUGGUACGCGAGCUGGGUUUAGAACGUCGUGAGACAGUUCGGUCCCUAUCUGCCGUGGGCGCUGGAGAACUGAGGGGGGCUGCUCCUAGUA
This 2224-nucleotide ribosomal RNA is filed under the name Shigella sonnei. RNAcentral describes it as "partial 23S ribosomal RNA". It matches the Rfam family "Bacterial large subunit ribosomal RNA", at positions 474 to 2683 of the family's 2925-position model. The record is from RNAcentral. Lineage: Bacteria; Pseudomonadati; Pseudomonadota; Gammaproteobacteria; Enterobacterales; Enterobacteriaceae.